This is a non-coding RNA of Pelodiscus sinensis (Chinese soft-shelled turtle), 1002 nucleotides long. The record is from RefSeq and is a predicted model, not a curated record. Lineage: Eukaryota; Metazoa; Chordata; Testudines; Trionychidae.
CUCAGAUCAGGCUGAAAGGGCAUGUUUACACUUGAGGGUGGAUCAAUGCUGCAGUGAUCGAUUCACUGGUGAUCGAUUCCAUCAGGACAAGAGUGGUCAGAAUGAACGAGAGAGCAGCCCCCGUGAUCUUAUUGUGUGGAAAACACCAUGAUUCACAGGGCCACCGGGCAAAAGGGACACCAACAGGACCGUGACUGGACCAGGAACAGGAGAAGAUGUUGAUCAAGAAUUCCAUGGACUAGCCCAUGAGGAUCAUGAACAACCAGGAAAGGGAUCAGGACCACACUCAAGAACAAACCCAUUGAAGUCAAGCUCCUAAAAGCAUCAAAGCAGUGGAAUUUUCUAACGCACCCACAAGAAUAGGGCUCUGACUCUGCAAGAAGGUACUUACACACGUGCCUAACCUUAAGUGUGUGAAUAGUCCUACUGACUUCAUGUGACGUAAGAGCUGAUGUACCUUGCUGCACUGGAACCUCAGGGCGUGUGUUCCAGUGAUUCUCGGUGAGACUUUUACUGCCAGAGGCUUUUGGAAAAACAGGGUGCUCACUCAGUCCUUUUGAAAUCAAGCUGCUAGGCUACAUUUCUGAUACAGUUGCUACAGUGAUGUGAUGCACAAAAAUCUAACUCUCUUCAGAAGCCUUGACUACCCAGCCGUGUGGCUUCCCAGCCAGAGUACAUCUCCUGUGAAAGCAUUCCUGAUAGAAUGACACCCAAGAACGCGUUCUCUGCAGCUAUCCAUUUUCUUCACAAAAAAGCUAACAAAGCAAAUCUCUGCUUUAACUGCCUUAAAAUCAUCAUUUCUGAAAUACACAACAAGGGCAGGAGAUUUCCAGAAGUGUUUUUUGAAACCUUAGGACAUCACUAAUAUACAAAGUGUUGGUCUUUCAAAUGGCUAGACACGAACAAAGGACAAUAAUUUUACACAUACAGGAACUUUUCAUCUAAAAGAAUCAUAAAAUACUGUGCAAACUUUACCCACAUGAGUGCAGCUACUUUCUAAGG